This is a long non-coding RNA of Hippocampus zosterae (dwarf seahorse), 2032 nucleotides long. RefSeq lists it as uncharacterized. The record is from RefSeq and is a predicted model, not a curated record. Lineage: Eukaryota; Metazoa; Chordata; Actinopteri; Syngnathiformes; Syngnathidae. The transcript is spliced from 5 exons.
CAUGCCCAACUCUGAUCAAGGGAGCGGGAUUGCUCGUGCCUCCUUACCAUGACUCUGUGGACUCUGCUCUGCACAACGUCCACAUUCAUCUCCCACUGGAGAGGCAGGAGAAGCCACAUGCCCGAAUGAGGAUCCCAAAACCUGCACACGUUCACUCUCUCCUGGCAAAACCACAACACAAAUUAGAUCAUGGAAUACAAACACGGGCCUCUUCUACAGUUGUCACCUUAUGGAGGUAAGGUGUGGGAGGGUUCAAUAAUCGUUGGUGCUAAGUUUUCAGGGAAUUUAGGUCCAAGGUUAGGAAUCAGACAAAGAAGAGAUUCUCCAGACGAGGAAUAAAAAGAUGGAAAAUGGAUGGAGACAAACAUGAAACCUCUGAGAAACCAACAGGAGUUUCUGAUUUCAAACGUGACCUUUGUGUGCCCCGGCGAAGGUCUUCACCUCAAACAUGACUGCAGGUGUGGGUGUCCUUACUACCACAGGGGUUGUGGUCCGGACCACAGGAGUGGGGAUCCGGGCCACAGGAGUGGGAGUCUGGACCAGGUCGGGCUGUUCAUCCUCCACCAAGCCCAGACGGGAUCCCUUGGUGGUGGUGGUGGACGCUCCACUUCCCAUCUCGAUGCUCAUCAAGAGCACGGAGACUUUGCCAGGAAGUAGAGGACAGGUUGAGAUUAGGAUGGUGCUCACCCACCUGGUAACACCUGGGCAGCGCCAUGGCGGCGUCCAUCAUGUCCGCAGCCUGCAGGUUAACCAAGCGAAGGGCCGAGCCUUGAUUGAGGAAGUGCAGCUGAAGCGUAACCAACUUGGCCAAUCGCACACAGCGACUCGCCUGAUGCACGCAUGCGUCCUGUCAUGCACAUUUACACAGUCAAUAUGGCCGCCAGUCUGACAGAAAGUUGCCGAAGGUUCAUCAUGGUCAACAUCUCACCCCAGGCCUGAGACUGGAUGAUCUUGAGCUGCGUCCUGGCGGCCAUCUCAUGGUUCUCGCCGAUUUCGCGCCUCAUGCUGAAACACAGAGCCACCAUGUUGUGCUUCUCGCUGUCGGCAGGCAGGCAGCGCUUGAUGUAGUCCAACAGUGCCGUCUUCAGGCUCGCGCUCUGCAGGGACCGAGCCCAGCUGAGUUCCCUGAGUGGUACGGUCUCCAGCUUCUCCAGAACUUUGAGUCCCACCAGGUUAGGAUCCUCACACAAAGUGAUCAGCUGGAUCAGUGACUCGCGACCCUCUGACGUUCGGAUCACUUGCCUCUCUUAACACGCACAUUCAAAGACACCGUGUUAGAAGUAUGUACAGAGAGCCAUGCGGGUGUAGUCAAUGCAUUCGUCCCUUGCUCCCCUCCUACCAGUAUGCAUCUGGUGAGCGUGGGCUUUUGUGGCGCGCACCAGAGUGGCUGCCACCAACUCGGCUACGACAUCGGCGGAGAAAUUCUGAGCUCGGAUGAACAUUUGAGCGUUCCGGAAGCGUUCGGGAUGAUCGCACAGCAGUAGUUUCUCGAGAACACAGCCGGGAUCCUCGCUGCUCAUCUGACUGAAGGGGCACUGCAGCUCCUGUCAACACAUGCACGCAUACAAAUAUGCAUCAUCGAACACGCAUAAACGCACAUACACAGCGCACACAACACAAACAGGGCCAAGACCAAAUAUCAAGGCAAGUGGCUUCAUGGUGGUGACAUUCAAACACAUUUCCACAUGUACAAGAGACUAAAGAACAUCCCAAGUGAUUGUGCGACGGAUGGAUGCCAAUGGCAUCUACCUUCGAGAGCUGGUAAAGGCUAAGGACUUGUUUGCAGUAGUUGUUGCCAUGGCGACACCACUCGGCCAUCUUCUGUAACUGGACGGCAAUGUCAUCUUCAGGAAGAGGAGGAAGCAGGACGAAGGACGACAUGCUGCUCACAGAUGGAGCUGACAAAACAACCAUGCAUUUUGAUAAGAAUCACUUAGCGAUGAUGCUAACAUGCCAAGCACAGCGAGCAAUGUAUCCUAACUAGAUGAAACUGGAAAAUGGUCAAAAGAUAAAAGUCACCGACUGACCCAAA